This 427-nucleotide ribosomal RNA is filed under the name uncultured bacterium. RNAcentral describes it as "bacterial SSU rRNA". It matches the Rfam family "Bacterial small subunit ribosomal RNA", at positions 338 to 750 of the family's 1533-position model. The record is from RNAcentral.
CAUACGGGAGGCAGCAGUGGGGAAUUUUCCGCAAUGGACUGCAAGUCUGACGGAGCGACGCUGCUGAUGAAUGGAUGACGGUCCCGCGGUGUUGUAAACUUCUUUUCUCGCACAGAAGAAACAAAUGACGGUAUUCGAGGAAUAAGCAUCGGCUAACCUCCGUGCCAGCAGCCGCGGUAAAGACGGAGGAUGCAAGUGUUAUUCGGAAAUGAUUGGGCGUAAAGAGUCUGUAGGCCCGUAUAGAAAGUCUUAUUUGUUAAAACUGCCUCGUGCUCAACCGAGAUCCAGCAAAGGAAAUUUCUAUACUUGACGGGAAGUAAGCAGGUACAAGGGAAAUUCCCGGUGGAGGCGGUGAAAUGCGUAGAUAUCGGGAGGAACACCAAUAUGGCGAAGGCAACUGUAACUGGGCUUUUCCUUGAACGCUGAG